Non-coding RNA from Vicia faba (fava bean), 276 nucleotides. The record is from the annotation of a GenBank genome assembly. NCBI's taxonomy places the organism in Eukaryota, Viridiplantae, Streptophyta, Magnoliopsida, Fabales, Fabaceae.
AUGAAGAAGGGAUUUACAAUUGUGCUGCCUGUGGAACUCCGCUUUACAAGUCUACCACCAAAUUUGAUUCUGGUUGUGGUUGGCCUGCUUUCUUCGAGGGUUUUCCUGGAUCCAUCAAUCGAUGGUAGAAAGACUGAGAUAACUUGUACAGCAUGUGGUGGACAUUUAGGUCAUGUAUUCAAGGGAGAAGGGUUCAAGGUUCCAACGGAUGAACGCCAUUUUGUCAAUAGUGUUUCUGUCAAGUUCAUUCUUGGAAAUGAUGCUUCUUCCAUAUGA